CUUUUCUUUUUGAUAUCUUUUUCAUGUUUAACCCAAAUAUUUUAAAGCCAAGGAUGAAAAGAUAUUUCAAUACUGCUUACCCACACAGAUCACCUGGGACCAUCCCUUGUUUUUGGUGGGGAAGUGUUGCUUUUUUCUUUAGUUUUCUAUACUCUGUCAUGUGUACUGUUGUUUGUCUGUUUGUCUUUUUCAUUUUUAGCCAUGGCGUUGUCAGUUUAUUUUCAAUUUAUGAGUUUGACUGUCACUCUGGUAUCUUUCGUCCCUCUUUGAGAAGCUUAUUAGUGUCUAUUAGGGGCUGCUAGUCUAAAUUUACUUACAAAAUUCAGCCUGUAAUUCAGUGGUUCUCGUUUUUUUAUAUGUUACAUAUUGUUUUUCGUUCAUUUUUUUUUAUAUAUAAUAAGGCCGUUUGUUUUCUCGUUUGAAUUGUUUUACAUUGUCAAAUCGGGGCCUUUUAUAGCUGACUAUGUGGUAUGUGCUUUGCUCAUUGUUGAAGGCCGUAUGGUGACCUAUAGUUGUUAAUAUCUGUAUCAUGUUGGUCUCUUGUGGAGGUUUCUAAAGGUAAAUUAGGUAUACAUUUCAUUCAAGACAUAGAUUAGCAAUGGGAGAUUUUUUACUGAAUUUACCCCUGAAAUGUUAAUACUGUUUUGUUCUUUUUGGAAGCAGCUCUUCUAAGGUCUUAAUCGAUUAAUUUCAUCUCAUCGGACAAUGUUUAUUUUUGAACAAUCUGAUGCAAUAGUCUGC
This 741-nucleotide long non-coding RNA is filed under the name Mytilus galloprovincialis (Mediterranean mussel). The record is from RNAcentral. Lineage: Eukaryota; Metazoa; Mollusca; Bivalvia; Mytilida; Mytilidae.